Molecule: antisense RNA, 355 nt
Filed under: Enterococcus hermanniensis
Lineage: Bacteria; Bacillati; Bacillota; Bacilli; Lactobacillales; Enterococcaceae
Description: Listeria sRNA rliD
Rfam family: Listeria sRNA rliD (bases 1-294)
Source: Rfam by way of RNAcentral
UUGUUAAUGGGAAAAAGUCAGUAUCUUUUGCUUCUUUUGAAGCUACUGCAGCACUUAAUACGACAGUAUCGCCAUAGCGAACCAAUACAGCACCAUUUGCUUGUUUGGCAAGCUGACCGAUUUCAACUUGCAGAGGACGUCCGCCCCAAGUGGUUUUAAAAACUUGUUUUUCUGACAUAAUUUCUCCUUUUCCCUUUGACCAGUGCGACGCUACUAAACAAAUGGAAAUAGCGGUUGAACAGCUUAACCUCUACUUGCAUUUGGUUAGUAGAGUGACAACACGCUAAUCAAAUGGGCUUUUAUUUUUUCUGAGCAAAACUCAGUUUUUACGAAUUAACUAGCAAAAAAAGUGAGA